RNAcentral lists this ribosomal RNA (207 nucleotides) under uncultured bacterium. RNAcentral's name for it is "partial 16S ribosomal RNA". It matches the Rfam family "Bacterial small subunit ribosomal RNA", at positions 568 to 774 of the family's 1533-position model. The record is from RNAcentral.
CGCGUAGGCGGCUUAGCAAGUCGAUUGUUUAAUCCCUCGGCUUAACUGAGGUUCAGUGGUCGAUACUACUAAGCUUGAGUACGGGAGAGGAGAGUGGAAUUCCAUGUGUAGCGGUGAAAUGCGCAGAUAUAUGGAGGAACACCUGUGGCGAAGGCGGCUCUCUGGACCGCUACUGACGCUGAGGCGCGAAAGCGUGGGGAGCAAACG